AAAAUUGGAAUAACGUUGAGCUGGUAUCCUGGAGCUGAGCUUGAAACUCUAUGGCAGUGUUUCUCGGUCCGGUUCCUAACUGCUCCACACAGUUUUAAAUAUUCCAUGAUUCAACACACCACGUAUUGAAUGUACAUGAUCCAGCUCCAACUGCUUAUCAAACCAACUGUUUAUUAGGUUGUUAGUGACGUGGAUAAUGUGAAUUACCACUAGUAGGAUUACGAGACACUGCUCUAGGAAUGAAUAUUGGUAUCUGGAGUCCCCAGAGUCAGUCCUAUGAACACCAUACUUUGCAGUUUUUUGUGUUCCUCCAAUAUGACAGUUUUUUACUUAGUUAAUGAGCUGAAUCUGGUGUAAUAAAUGAGGAAAAGCACUAAAAUAUGCAUGACAUGGGGUCUCAGUGAGUGGGUUGGAGUCUCUGUUUGCCGUUAAGUUCAGAUGUUCGCUGUUUUUGACUAACAAGACUAACAAAAGUUAAGGGGUUUGUUGACAGGAUAGACAGAUAUACAUGUCUCAUAAAAUAAGCAAGCGGGUCCAGGUUCCAUUCUUGGGGGUCUUCAUUUUUUCUCCAUUUUAAAACACUUUUUUACUCAGCCCCGCCCACAAUGAUCUUAAUUUGCUAAAUAGGUCAAUCAGGUUUUAGAAAAGGUAAAACACAAUGUGUGAUAUGGGAUCCCCAGGACUGGUAUACGGAACCCCUGAAUUAAGCAAAGUCAUUACUGAUUUUGCUUACCCUCUUACAGAUUGGACUUUCUGAUUCAUCUCCUGUUGUGCUGACACACACAUGCUGUUCCUGUGUCGCAGGCACUGCCCUAUGCGACUAUAUAGUGGCUUUGCUUUUUCAAACUGCACAUUUUUCUCAGCUCAGUGUGCCAGUCGUUCCCCCUGUGCACAGCUGUACUGAAACUGAACAGCGCUGACACAAACCUCGGACAAUCGGUGUAAAGCCAGGACCAGUCAACAACAUGGUGAUCACAAAACCUGUGCCAAAUCGAACAUCUCAAGGUGGAGUUAGGAGUGGACUCUACAGGGGGACGGUGGGCCCUUUACCCGAUCCAUGCAUGUUUAGAGUGACAGAGGCCUAUGAAAAAUUCAGCCUUGAAGACAAACCACUGGUGACCACUAUGGGCAUGGCACCCCACAAGCCAGCUGUGCAGUGUGCAUUUGGUGCAGGAAGGCAGUGUUCUGUCAUAUCAGCAGCCUGUUUUACCAUCACGACACAUCACUCUCCACCCUGAUGUGCCAUCAACCCCACUUCUUCCUCUAAAAGACCACCACCUUGAUGCACCCACCUGUGCUUUUGUGUGCACUGAACAGGAACUCUUUCACCUGAAGUCUUUGGAGGUGUCACUUGAUAUGGCUCACAAAAUUGAGAUGUCAACUCGGGAGCAGAGUUCUUGUGCUGACUGGCAUCUGCUCCGCAAGCCUAGAGUAACGUUUUCGUGAGGUGUGCCGUGUCAGAGGGCAUAGAGUCCCUUGCUGAACGCAUCAUCAGAGGUGCCAGACAGACGGCAGAAAUGAAGAGAGGUCAAGAGAUGGAGUCCGGAGCAGCGUCUGAGUAUUGCAGGAUACUCAAUGUAAAUUACACACCAUGUGGCCUCAUCAUCCACCCAGAUGCUCCCUGGCUUGGUGCAUCCCCUGAUGGUGUCGUAUUUGACCCCACUGAAUACCCCCAGUUUGGCUUGGUCGAGAUUAAAUGCCCUAAUGUGAAGAAUUACAUUGACUGUAAGUAUCUGUAUCUGGAGUACGGAUGUUCAAAACUAAAAAAGACACAAGCGUAUUACUGGCAGAUUCAAGGUCAGUUACUAACCAGCGGGCUUCACUG
This is a long non-coding RNA of Pygocentrus nattereri (red-bellied piranha), 1825 nucleotides long. RefSeq lists it as uncharacterized. NCBI's taxonomy places the organism in Eukaryota, Metazoa, Chordata, Actinopteri, Characiformes, Serrasalmidae. The record is from RefSeq and is a predicted model, not a curated record. The transcript has 3 exons.